Molecule: ribosomal RNA, 906 nt
Filed under: uncultured delta proteobacterium
Lineage: Bacteria; Deltaproteobacteria
Description: bacterial SSU rRNA
Rfam family: Bacterial small subunit ribosomal RNA
Source: RNAcentral
CAGGUGCGGGCGGUGCUACCAUGCAGUCGACGAGAAGUCUUGCUUGCAAGGCGAGUAAAGUGGCGCACGGGUGAGUAACGCGUGGGUAAUCUUCCUUCGGGACAGGGAUAACACCCCGAAAGGGGUGCUAAUACCAGAUACGAUGCAGACUCCACAAGGAGUCUGCAUGAAAGGUGACCUCUUCCUUGAAAGUUGCCGCUCGAAGAUGAGCCUGCGUCCCAUUAGCUCGUUGGUAGGGUAAUGGCCUACCAAGGCGAAGAUGGGUAGCUGGUCUGAGAGGAUGAUCAGCCACACUGGAACUGAGACACGGUCCAGACUCCUACGGGAGGCAGCAGUGGGGAAUAUUGCGCAAUGGGGGAAACCCUGACGCAGCAACGCCGCGUGAGUGAUGAAGGCCUUCGGGUCGUAAAGCUCUGUCAGGUGGGAAGAACACGGCAGUCUCUAACAUGGAUUGCCUAUGACGGUACCACCAGAGGAAGCACCGGCUAACUCCGUGCCAGCAGCCGCGGUAAUACGGAGGGUGCAAGCGUUGUUCGGAAUCACUGGGCGUAAAGCGCGUGUAGGCGGCCCAUUAAGUCAGGUGUGAAAUCCCUUAGCUCAACUAAGGAAUUGCAUCUGAAACUGGUGGGCUUGAGUACGGGAGAGGAGAGUGGAAUUCCUGGUGUAGAGGUGAAAUUCGUAGAUAUCGGGAAGAACACCGGUGGCGAAGGCGGCUCUCUGGACCGAUACUGACGCUGAGACGCGAAAGCGUGGGGAGCAAACAGGAUUAGAUACCCUGGUAGUCCACGCCGUAAACGAUGGGCACUAGGUGUGGAGGGUAUUGACCCCCUCUGUGCCGUAGCUAACGCAUUAAGUGCCCCGCCUGGGAAGUACGGCCGCAAGGCUAAAACUCAAAGGAAUUGACGG